UACGUAGGGUGCGAGCGUUGUCCGGAAUUAUUGGGCGUAAAGGGCUCGUAGGCGGUCUGUUGCGUCAGGAGUGAAAACUCGGGGCUUAACCCCGAGCCUGCUUCUGAUACGGGCAGACUAGAGGUAUGCAGGGGAGAACGGAAUUCCUGGUGUAGCGGUGAAAUGCGUAGAUAUCUGGAGGAACACCGGUGGCGAAGGCGGCAUCCUGGACCAAUAUUGACGCUGAGGAGCGAAAGCCAGGGGAGCAAACGGG
This 253-nucleotide ribosomal RNA is filed under the name uncultured bacterium. Its description in RNAcentral is "partial 16S ribosomal RNA". It matches the Rfam family "Bacterial small subunit ribosomal RNA", at positions 524 to 776 of the family's 1533-position model. The record is from RNAcentral.